RNAcentral lists this ribosomal RNA (405 nucleotides) under uncultured bacterium. Its description in RNAcentral is "partial 16S ribosomal RNA". It matches the Rfam family "Bacterial small subunit ribosomal RNA", at positions 28 to 526 of the family's 1533-position model. The record is from RNAcentral.
GAUGAACGCUGGCGGCGUGCCUAAUACAUGCAAGUCGAGCGAAGCGGGGACGGGUGAGUAACAAGUGGAUAACAUCCUAUAAGACUGGGAGAACAUCGGGAAACCGGAACUAAACCGGCUACUUAUAGAUGGAUCCGGGGUGCAUUAGCUAGUUGGUAGGGUAACGGCUUACCAAGGCAACGCUGCAUAGCCGACCUGAGAGGGUGAUCGGCCACACUGGAACUGAGACACGGUCCAGACUCCUACGGGAGGCAGCAGUAGGGAAUCUUCCGCAAUGGGCGAAAGCCUGACGGAGCAACGCCGCGUGUGUGAUGAAGGUCUUCGGAUCGUAAAACUCUGUUAGUAGGGAAGCGGUACCUAAACAGAAAGCCACGGCUAACUACGUGCCAGCAGCCGCGGUAAUUC